RNAcentral lists this ribosomal RNA (253 nucleotides) under uncultured bacterium. RNAcentral describes it as "partial 16S ribosomal RNA". It matches the Rfam family "Bacterial small subunit ribosomal RNA", at positions 524 to 776 of the family's 1533-position model. The record is from RNAcentral.
UACGGGGGGGGCUAGCGUUGUUCGGAAUUACUGGGCGUAAAGGGCGCGUAGGCGGUCUGCUAAGGUGGAUGUGAAAACUCUGGGCUUAACCCAGAGCCUGCAUUCAAUACUGACAGGCUAGAGUUCUGGAGGGGAUAGCGGAAUUCCUGGUGUAGCGGUGGAAUGCGCAGAUAUCAGGAGGAACACCGAUGGCGAAGGCAGCUCGCUGGGACGGUACUGACGCUGAGGCGCGAAAGCGUGGGGAGCGAACAGG